UACGGAGGGUGCAAGCGUUAUCCGGAUUCACUGGGUUUAAAGGGUGCGUAGGUGGGUUUGUAAGUCAGUGGUGAAAUCUCCAAGCUUAACUUGGAAACUGCCGUUGAUACUAUAAAUCUUGAAUGUUGUGGAGGUGAGCGGAAUAUGUCAUGUAGCGGUGAAAUGCUUAGAUAUGACAUGGAACACCAAUUGCGAAGGCAGCUCACUACACGAAGAUUGACACUGAGGCACGAAAGCGUGGGGAUCAAACAGG
This 253-nucleotide ribosomal RNA is filed under the name uncultured bacterium. RNAcentral describes it as "partial 16S ribosomal RNA". It matches the Rfam family "Bacterial small subunit ribosomal RNA", at positions 524 to 776 of the family's 1533-position model. The record is from RNAcentral.